GCUAGGCAUGAUGGCACACACCUGUAAUCCCAGCAGCUCAGGAGGCUGAAGCAGGAGAAUUGGAAGUUCAAAGCAAGCCUCUGCAACUUAGCAAGCUCCUGUUUCAA
Molecule: small RNA, 107 nt
Filed under: Marmota monax (woodchuck)
Lineage: Eukaryota; Metazoa; Chordata; Mammalia; Rodentia; Sciuridae
Source: RNAcentral